AGCGAACGCUGGCGGAAUGCUUAACACAUGCAAGUCGCACGGGGGCUUCGGCCUUAGUGGCGGACGGGUGAGUAACGCGUAGGAAUGUGUCCGAGGGUGGGGAUAACGUUGGGAAACUGACGCUAAUACCGCAUAUCCCCUGAGGGGGAAAGCAGAGAUGCGCCCACGGAGCAGCCUGCGUCCGAUUAGCUAGUUGGUUAGGUAAAGGCUGACCAAGGCGACGAUCGGUAGCUGGUCUGAGAGGAUGAUCCGCCACACUGGGACUGAGACACGGCCCAGACUCCUACGGGAGGCAGCAGUGGGGAAUUUUGGGACAAUGGGCGCAAGCCUGAUCCAGCCAUGCCGCGUGAGUGAAGAAGGCCCUUCGGGUUGUUAAAGACUCUUUUGUUCAGGAAGAAACAGCAGCUCUAACACAGUCUGCGAAUGACGGUACCUGAAGAAUAAGCACCGGCUAACUACGUG
This 462-nucleotide ribosomal RNA is filed under the name uncultured bacterium. Its description in RNAcentral is "bacterial SSU rRNA". It matches the Rfam family "Bacterial small subunit ribosomal RNA", at positions 29 to 507 of the family's 1533-position model. The record is from RNAcentral.